Molecule: ribosomal RNA, 451 nt
Filed under: uncultured bacterium
Lineage: Bacteria
Description: bacterial SSU rRNA
Rfam family: Bacterial small subunit ribosomal RNA
Source: RNAcentral
UAUCCAGACUCCUACGGGAGGCAGCAGUGGGGAAUAUUGCACAAUGGGGGGAACCCUGAUGCAGCGACGCCGCGUGGGUGAAGGAGUAUUUCGGUAUGUAAAGCCCUAUCAGCAGGGAAGAACAAUGACGGUACCUGACUAAGAAGCACCGGCUAAAUACGUGCCAGCAGCCGCGGUAAUACGUAUGGUGCAAGCGUUAUCCGGAUUUACUGGGUGUAAAGGGAGCGUAGGCGGCGAUGCAAGUCAGAAGUGAAAGCCCGGGGCUCAACUCCGGGACUGCUUUUGAAACUGUAUGGCUAGAUUGCAGGAGAGGCAAGUGGAAUCCCUAGUGUAGCGGUGAAAUGCGUAGAUAUUAGGAGGAACACCAGUGGCGAAGGCGGCUUGCUGGACUGUAAAUGACGCUGAGGCUCGAAAGCGUGGGGAGCAAACAGGAUUAGAUACCCCGGUACAG